GUUAUAUGUGUUCACAAAUGGAUCAUUAGCCGGCUUGGAAUAGCCUUGUAUAGCUUGAACUUGUUCCUUGAUGAAAGGUGAAAACUGUGCAGUCGUGGGACAUUCACUCACAUGGUAGGCUAAGCUAGCAUAGAUAGAAUAAAUCGCCUGAUAAUUAGAAGGUGAUGUGUAUUGUGUAGGAGAUUGUUGACCUAGGGCUAGGACUUGAUCUAACUUCUGGGCA
This 223-nucleotide long non-coding RNA is filed under the name Elaeis guineensis (African oil palm). RNAcentral's name for it is "long non-coding RNA (EGUI_LNC015054)". The record is from RNAcentral. Lineage: Eukaryota; Viridiplantae; Streptophyta; Magnoliopsida; Arecales; Arecaceae.